RNAcentral lists this long non-coding RNA (1385 nucleotides) under Brassica napus (rape). RNAcentral's name for it is "long non-coding RNA (BNAP_LNC007252)". The record is from RNAcentral. Lineage: Eukaryota; Viridiplantae; Streptophyta; Magnoliopsida; Brassicales; Brassicaceae.
AACCAGAAAUUAAAAAAUAAAAUCAAAGCACACAAUUUUCCUUACUCGGUUUACACUAAACCAAAUCUAAAAGAAAUCUAAACCUAAAAAAAAAGUCGAGCCGCCUCCUUCAUGAGCCUUGCGCCUCUUCCAACCUUGACCGGAGACAUUGUCAUCUCUGCUUCCGGCGUCAGUGUCUCCUCCACUGCAGCUUCCGUGCCUCCUCCCACUUCCCGUCAACCAUCUUUUGACUUUCCACCUUACUCAAGCUUUGUCUGCCAAAUUAGCCUUCCUUAACCUUCGUUUGUCUUCUCAUCCUUCCUCAAUCUUGUGAAUACUUCUUUACGUUUGUUUGAGACCUCUGUUCGUCAUCUCCAGUCUCACAUCUCCAUUCCGAUAGCAUUUUUUGAACGCUAAGAAAUGUACAGAUACGAUAGCAAUGUUUGAAUGAUAUUAUUUAAAUUAACUAUAGCACUACUUUCGUACUAUGAUAGGUCAUUAUACAAUAAAUAAAUAAAAAAUUAUAACUAAAAUUAAAAAAAUAAAUAAAAAUUAAAUGAAAAUUGUUUUAUAAUUUAAAAUAAAAUAAAUUUUAUUUAUAAAUUAAAAUUGGUUUACAAAUACAUUCCGGUUUACAAUACUAAACCAGAAAUUAAAAAAUAAAAUCAAAGCACACAAUUUUCCUUACUCGGUUUACACUAAACCAAAUCUAAAAGAAAUCUAAACCUAAAAAAAAAGUCGAGCCGCCUCCUUCAUGAGCCUUGCGCCUCUUCCAACCUUGACCGGAGACGUUGUCGUCUCUGCUUCCGGCGUCAGUGUCUCCUCCACUGCAGCUUCCGUGCCUCCUCCCACUUCCCGUCAACCAUCUUUUGACUCUCCACCUUACUCAAGCUUCGUCUGCCUAAUUAGCCUUCCUCAACCUUCGUUUGUCUUCUCAUCCUUCCUCAAUCUUGUGAAUACUUCUUUACGUUUGUUUGAGACCUCUGUUCGUCAUCUCCAGUCUCACAUCUCCAUUCACGAAUCUAGAUCUGAAAAAAAAAAUGUGAAACAAAAAUCUUUGAGAUUAGAAGAUAAAAGAGAGUAAUGGGGGUAGAGGAAGAAUCGCUUUUGAUUGAGGCAGAAGCAGUGGUGGUAGUGGAGAAGAUGGUCGCUUGUGGUUGAGUAACGAGGAGGAGGAGGAGGAUGCGAUUGUGGUCCGCGAAGGUGGGGAACAAGGAGGAGGAGGCGGCGGAUGUGAUGGUGGCGUCGGGCGGAGGUGAUGGUGGGUGAGGUAUAAGUAGUGGUAGACGAGGUGACUGUGAUGAUGGUUUGUGUUUGUAGAAUGAGGAUUGCUAUGGUGAAGAAAGAAGAAGAGUAGAAAGAUGAAAUAAAAUAUCAGAAGAGAUGAGAAGAGAGGAACGUGAGAG